UUUCUGUAACGUAACUGUCUGCUGCGGUGCCACUCGAAGCGGCAGUAGCUUCAGGGGAUGGCUUACCAAAACACUGAAAGAGUGUAGUUUAAAUUUGCCUUUGUUUCAUAUUUCUAGCG
Long non-coding RNA from Etheostoma spectabile (orangethroat darter), 119 nucleotides. RefSeq lists it as uncharacterized. The record is from RefSeq and is a predicted model, not a curated record. The transcript has 3 exons. Lineage: Eukaryota; Metazoa; Chordata; Actinopteri; Perciformes; Percidae.